GGCGAACGCUGGCGGCGUGCUUAACACAUGCAAGUCGAACGGUGAAGCGCCUUCCUUUUUGGUGGGUGUGGAUGAGUGGCGAACGGGUGAGUAACACGUGAGUAACCUGCCCCCUUCUUCUGGAUAACCGCAUGAAAGUGUGGCUAAUACGGGAUAUUCUGGGUCUGUCGCAUGAUGGGUCUGGGAAAGAUAUUGUUUCGGUGGGGGAUGGGCUCGCGGCCUAUCAGCUUGUUGGUGGGGUGAUGGCCUACCAAGGCGGUGACGGGUAGCCGGCCUGAGAGGGUGGACGGUCACACUGGGACUGAGACACGGCCCAGACUCCUACGGGAGGCAGCAGUGGGGAAUAUUGCACAAUGGGCGCAAGCCUGAUGCAGCGACGCCGCGUGAGGGAUGGAGGCCUUCGGGUUGUGAACCUCCUUCGCCAGUGAAGCAGGCCUGCCUCGUUUGUGGGUGGGUUGACGGUAGCUGGAGAAGAAGCGCCGGCUAACUACGUG
This 494-nucleotide ribosomal RNA is filed under the name uncultured bacterium. RNAcentral describes it as "partial 16S ribosomal RNA". It matches the Rfam family "Bacterial small subunit ribosomal RNA", at positions 28 to 507 of the family's 1533-position model. The record is from RNAcentral.